AACCAGGCCGUUGGUCAAACCUGUCCUCCCUGUUCUCAGACCACAUGUGAGAAGCCUAAGGGGUGCGGAAGACGAAACUUCGUGAAAGAUGCAUGUGGAUGCUGCGAUGUUUGUGGAACUAGAUUCGGACACCCUUGCUCUGGAAUGACACCAAAGUGUGUGAGGAACCUGUGGUGCAUAAGGAUACAGGGUGAUACUGCCGAGGCCAGGAGAAGUAUAGUCUUGCCCGAUACCUUCCAGGGUGUUUGUGGAAGAAUAAGAGUUUGAUCUGUAUAACUGAGUUGGAUCCAGAUCUUAGACCACAUUUCAGCUCACCACCUGAACACCCCACUUCUGUAUUAUAAUGCAAUGAAAAUAAAAUAUUGGUGAGUUCA
Molecule: long non-coding RNA, 374 nt
Organism: Haliotis rubra (blacklip abalone)
Lineage: Eukaryota; Metazoa; Mollusca; Gastropoda; Lepetellida; Haliotidae
Exons: 3
Source: RefSeq, a predicted model, not a curated record